CAACCACACCCCAACCCACUACUACUACAACAACCACUACACCUACACCUACCACCACAACCACACCCCAACCCACUACUACUACAACAACCACUACACCUACACCUACCACCACAACAAAACAACCCUCUUUAAUGAUAGUAACAACGGCUGUUAUAACACGACCGACUCCAACCACUAUGACAACAACACAACAAGCAACAUCCUGGCCACGACCAACUCCAACCACGACUACAACAACACAACAAGCAACAUCCUGGCCACGACCAACUCCAACCACGACUACAACAACACAACAAGCAACAUCCUGGCCACUAACAGAGGCCCACGCUACUCCUACAACAAUAUCUACAAUCACCACUAUGAACAGAAAGCUCAAUAAACCUCCCAAAAAACCUAACAAAUCGUCUAAAAAACCCAAACCACAUCCUGCCACUACUACAACAACAACUUUACCUGUCUCAACUACACCCCGCAGAGACCCAGACCCCAUCAGAACUACUGAAAAACUCCAGCCAGCCACUGAGCCAGCUACCUCCACCACCACUUCUACUGGUGCUACUGCCACCACUAAGAGCCCAGCAGCCAUUGAGCCCCUGAUCCCAAGGACGACACCAGAAAACGAGCUAGUGCUGAUGCCCAAGGGGGUCCAGGCAACCCCAGCCUCCCCAGGGACAGAGGGUCAGGGCAGGGGGAAGGAGGUGGCAGGGCAGGGGGCUCUGAAGAGCUCCCUGGUGGCUGUGGUGGUGGUAGGCCUGGCCAUCCUGACUCUGGCCCUGGCUGUGGUUGGACGUAAGGCCAUGGAGUCAUUCGACCGGCGACACUACACCAGGCUGGAGCUCAACGACCUACACUAUGAGGUGUGACACACACACACACACUACACCAGGCUGGAGCUUAACGACCUACACUACGAGGUGUGACACACACACACACACUACACCAGGCUGGAGCUUAAUGACCUACACUACGAGGUGUGACACACACACACACACACACACUACACCAGGCUGGAGCUCAACGACCUGCACUACGAGGUGUGACACACACACACACACACACACUACACCAGGCUGGAGCUCAACGACCUACACUACGAGGUGUGACACACACACACACACACACACACUACACCAGGCUGGAGCUUAACGACCUACACUACGAGGUGUGACACACACACACACACACACGCACACACACACACACACACACACACACACACACACACACACACACACACACACACACACACACACACACACACACACACACACACACACACACACACACACACACACACACACACACACACACACACACACACACACGUCCUGGUUCACAAAGAGGGAUAAUAAACAAGACACACGGGGAAUGAAAGGUCCACCAUGCAAAAAUAAUAUGUUUCUCUUCAGUUUGCUCUGUUUUAAUUCAAUCGUUUCUUUAACCACAUAUUUAUUAGAUAAGAAACGUGUUCAGUUUAAUUUUAAGAGCAUAUCAAUGUACUGUCAUUCAUUACAACACAAUAACAAUAGUGUCAUUGAACAGACCCCUCUUCUAGUAUUCUACAACAGUAGAGAGAUAUCAGAGGGCUCUAGAACAGUAGAGAGAUAUCAGAGGGCUCUAGAACAGUAGAGAGGCAUCAGAUGGCUCUAGAACAGUAGAGAGAUAUCAGAGGGCUCUAGAACAGUAUGGAUAUCAGAGGGCUCUAGAACAGUAGAGAGAUAUCAGAGGGCUCUAGAACAGUAGAGAGAUAUCAGAGGGCUCUAGAACAGUAGAGAGAUAUCAGAGGGCUCUAGAACAGUAGAGAGACAUCAGAUGGCUCUAGAACAGUAUAGAUAUCAGAGGGCUCUAGAACAGUAGAGAGAUAUCAGAGGGCUCUAGAACAGUAGAGAGAUAUCAGAGGGCUCUAGAACAGUAGAGAGACAUCAGAUGGCUCUAGAACAGUAUAGAUAUCAGAGGGCUCUAGAACAGUAGAGAGAUAUCAGAGGGCUCUAGAACAGUAGAGAGAUAUCAGAGGGCUCUAGAACAGUAGAGAGACAUCAGAGGGCUCUAGAACAGUAGAGAGACAUCAGAGGGCUCUAGAACAGUAGCGAGAUAUCAGAAGGCUCUAGAACAGUAGAGAGACAUCAGAGGGCUCUAGAACAAUAGAGAGAUAUCAGAGGGCUCUAGAACAGUAGAGAGAUAUCAGAGGGCUCUAGAACAGUAUAGAUAUCAGAGGGCUCUAGAACAGUAGAGAGACAUCAGAGGGCUCUAGAACAGUAGAGAGACAUCAGAGGGCUCUAGAACAGUAGAGAGACAUCAGAGGGCUCUAGAACAGUAGCGAGAUAUCAGAAGGCUCUAGAACAGUAGCGAGAUAUCAGAAGGCUCUAGAACAGUAGAGAGAUAUCAGAAGGCUCUAGAACAGUAGAGAGAUAUCAGAGGGCUCUAGAACAGUAGAGAGGUAUCAAAGGGCUAGGGAAUAAAGAACCUUAAGCAGCAAUAUCUCUAUUCCAACAACUCAGGAACCCUCUGAAUUUAAAGGUUAUAGUGUAAUUUGGAUGAACUAUCCCUUUAAGCAAACAGCAAACACAAAGUGAUAGCCUCCCCUAUGUACAAGAGAGUCAUUGGAGGCUGGUCAAGGGAGGACGGCUCAUAAUAAUGGCUGGAAUGGAAUAGAUGGAACGGAGUCAAACACUGGGAAGAAACCAAGUCUAGAUGUGUUUGAUGCCUGUCUAUUCAUUCCAGCCAUUACUAUGAGUCCCUCCUCAGAUUCAAGGUGGAACCAGCCACCACUGAUAAGUGUACUGACUGAGACCUUUUAAAGAGGAGCAACUGACUGAGACCUUUUAAAGAGGAGCAACUGACUGAGACCUAUUAAAGAGGAACAACUGACUGAGACCUUUUAAAGAGGAGCAACUGACUGAGACCUUUUAAAGAGGAGCAACUGACUGAGACCUUUUAAAGAGGAGCAACUGACUGAGACCUUUUAAAGAGGGACAACUGACUGAGACCUUUUAAAGAGGGACAACUGACUGAGACCUUUUAAAGAGGGACAACUGACUGAGACCUUUUAAAGAGGAGCAACUGACUGAGACCUUUUAAAUAGCAACUGACUGAGACCUUUUAAAGAGGAGCAACUGACUGAGACCUUUUAAAUAGCAACUGACUGAGACCUUUUAAAGAGAAACAACUGACUGAGACCUUUUAAAGAGGAACAACUGACUGAGACCUUUUAAAGAGAAACAACUGACUGAGACCUUUUAAAGAGAAACAACUGACUGAGACCUUUUAAAGAGGAACAACUGA
This is a long non-coding RNA of Oncorhynchus gorbuscha (pink salmon), 3285 nucleotides long. RefSeq lists it as uncharacterized. Lineage: Eukaryota; Metazoa; Chordata; Actinopteri; Salmoniformes; Salmonidae. The transcript is spliced from 2 exons. The record is from RefSeq and is a predicted model, not a curated record.